This 589-nucleotide ribosomal RNA is filed under the name Fusarium oxysporum. RNAcentral describes it as "eukaryotic LSU rRNA". It matches the Rfam family "Eukaryotic large subunit ribosomal RNA", at positions 40 to 652 of the family's 3401-position model. Lineage: Eukaryota; Fungi; Ascomycota; Sordariomycetes; Hypocreales; Nectriaceae. The record is from RNAcentral.
AUAUCAAUAAGCGGAGGAAAAGAAACCAACAGGGAUUGCCCUAGUAACGGCGAGUGAAGCGGCAACAGCUCAAAUUUGAAAUCUGGCUCUCGGGCCCGAGUUGUAAUUUGUAGAGGAUACUUUUGAUGCGGUGCCUUCCGAGUUCCCUGGAACGGGACGCCAUAGAGGGUGAGAGCCCCGUCUGGUUGGAUGCCAAAUCUCUGUAAAGUUCCUUCAACGAGUCGAGUAGUUUGGGAAUGCUGCUCUAAAUGGGAGGUAUAUGUCUUCUAAAGCUAAAUACCGGCCAGAGACCGAUAGCGCACAAGUAGAGUGAUCGAAAGAUGAAAAGCACUUUGAAAAGAGAGUUAAAAAGUACGUGAAAUUGUUGAAAGGGAAGCGUUUAUGACCAGACUUGGGCUUGGUUAAUCAUCUGGGGUUCUCCCCAGUGCACUUUUCCAGUCCAGGCCAGCAUCAGUUUUCCCCGGGGGAUAAAGGCGGCGGGAAUGUGGCUCUCUUCGGGGAGUGUUAUAGCCCACCGUGUAAUACCCUGGGGGGGACUGAGGUUCGCGCAUCUGCAAGGAUGCUGGCGUAAUGGUCAUCAACGACCCGU